ACAGUUGGCAGUGGUACAGUUGAGAGACUCUGGGUGAGAACCAAGAGGCAAACAAAUGUUGCCAUGGGAGUCUGCUAUAGACCUCCCAGCCAGGACGAUGGUGCCGACAAUUAUUCUUUGAGGAACUAAGGGACACUUAGUCAACUGCCCUUGUCCUUAUGAGGGACUUCAAUUUGCCAGAAUUAACUGGGACCACCACACAGCUGGUACAACCUGGGCCAGAAGAUUCCUAGAAAAUGUGGAUGACAACUUCAUGGAACAGGUCCUACGGGAGCCAACUUGGAAAGGGGGGAGAGUGCCAGCAAAACCUCAACUCUAGACAUGAGGAGAACAGAAUUCAGGCUGCUUGGGGAAUUAAUGAUGGACCAAGGAGGUCUCAGUGCUCUGAGCUGGAGGACCAUGACUGCAAUAAUGAUCAACUCCCAGUCAACCAUGAAAUUGCGUGGGAUCUGC
Pipra filicauda (Wire-tailed manakin) is the source of this 453-nucleotide long non-coding RNA. RefSeq lists it as uncharacterized. Lineage: Eukaryota; Metazoa; Chordata; Aves; Passeriformes; Pipridae. The record is from RefSeq and is a predicted model, not a curated record. The transcript has 3 exons.